AGCAUGUAUCUCAGCUUUUAUUGAUUUCUUUUUCAUUCUAAAAAGCUAUACAUCUAUUUUGUACUCUGGAAGUUAUACAGAUGUGCCACAACACCACAUCUCCCGAACAUGUGGUAGUGGGGAUGUGUGGGGAAGAAUCACUGCUUCCAUAAGGCUAAGAAAAGGAAAGAUCAAUAUGACAGCAGGGUAGAGUCAGACUCAACUUUCCCACUUAUUUUUACUUAAAAAAAAGCUGGUUAAUAACUCACAUUAUGGACACAAUGCUAUUUAAGAAGCAUUUCUCAGUUGGCCUUCCCUUUUGAGUUACUUUCUACAUAGAUAAGUUUUUUUGUUUUUGUCUUUAUAUUUUCUCUCUUUGGUGACUAGAAAAAGGUGUUUGCCUUUCUGAUUUUUCACUUGAAUAUUUUUAUUAGUAUCAAAUUCGUUAGUUCUAGACUGAUAUUAAAAUGAAAGUGCUCUUCUGCUCAUUUUUCUAACAAAAACAAAGAUAUUACAGGCAUAUUUCAAACUUCAGUUAUGUCAAAAAAUGCGACUUCUUUAGUGGCAGAUACAAGAGAUCAAAGAUUCCUCAUGUUAAACACAAAACUUGUGUUCAACCUCAUGUUUUCUUCUCCCAGGAAAUCUCCAGGCAUCUACCAGUUACCUCAUAUUUUACGUAGCUGCUAGGAAAACUGCUUGAUACACAAACCUCUUGAGCAAAGCUGGUCCUCAUAGUGGUAGUUAUAGCCCCUGUCUUGCAUGUAUAGUUUAGGUCAAUAGCAAGUAGCAAGUUAACUACAUUUAGGACCACAGUGUUGGGAAACUCCUUCCAAGAUAAUCUCCUUUAUUUUGUUGGUUUAACAAGGUACCCCAAAACUUUAUAUUACAUGUAAUGGGCUUGAAAUAUUAAGCAUCAGGCUGUGAGUUUAGUGUUCUUGUUUUUGAGGUAGAACAAAUCCUUCCCAAGGCUUCCGUUUUGCUCAUCCUCUCAGUCUUUCUUUUUCUCUACCUCCUCCUAAGCAACCCCUUUCCUAGCACUCGAGUAAUAACAGGCCAUUCUUCAAACCUUAUAAUAUGCUGUUCAAUAAAGCAUUGCCUAAUGAGACAGAGAGUACAUUUUUUAAGAAGAAGCCUGUUUGAAAAUUCCUGAGAUAAAGUGAAACCUACAAUAUCGACUGCCUUGACAACUAUGAAAACUUUCAAUAUUAAGGAGAAAAAAAAAUAUCAGCGGGCUAGCGUAGUGUUCAAUAGUGAGCGUCUUGCUCUCCCUUCAAUCUUUCUAACCGCUACCAGCAGGCCCAAAGGCCGGCUCAGACGCCCUCGGAAUCCAGCAAGAGAGACAGACCGCCCUCGCGAAGCUGAGAUGAACACUGCGACCCGCCUCCGCCUUUAAGAUGCCGCGGGAAGAGGCGCAGUCGGACGUGGGGCACGGAACGCCACGCCUCCAGGGGUGGGGCUGCCGCCAAGCCUCCCCGACCCUAGCGUCUGAAGGGGCGGAGUCCAUGGUGACGUCAUCCUGGAGGCCCGCCCUGGUUGGAGGGAAUGUAGAAGGGACUUGGAGGUCCCUGGAAGGAGGCGGAGUCUAGUUUUCCUGGUGAAGAAUUGCCUGGCGGUUGCCUAGUUACGGGUCGCUGCGGCGCUGGCUACCACAGCGCGGUUGGCGGAGGCUGGAGGGGUCUGUGGGCCGGAGCCCCCGCCACGGCCUCUGUUUGUCCUGUGAUGGCUGCCGCCGCCGCAGUGGUCACACCGUCGGGUCUGGAGGAUGGGGUGUCUCGGUCUCGGGGCGAAGGGGCCGGAGAGGUGGUCGUGGAGCGAGGGCCUGGCGCGGCCUACCACAUGUUCGUGGUGAUGGAGGACCUGGUGGAGAAGCUGAAGCUGCUCCGCUAUGAGGAGGAACUCCUCCGGAAGAACAACCUGAAGCCCCCGUCCAGACACUAUUUUGCACUGCCCACCAACCCUGGUGAACAGUUCUACAUGUUUUGCACUCUUGCUGCUUGGCUGAUUAACAAAGCAGGACAUCUCUUUGAGCAGCCUCAAGAGUAUGAUGAUCCUAAUGCAACAAUAUCUAACAUACUAUCAGAGCUUCGAUCAUUCGGAAGAACUGCAGAUUUUCCUCCUUCAAAAUUAAAGUCUGGUUAUGGAGAGCAUGUAUGCUAUGUUCUUGAUUGUUUAGCUGAAGAAGCAUUAAAAUAUAUUGGUUUCACCUGGAAGAGGCCAGCAUACCCAGUAGAAGAAUUAGAAGAAGAAACUGUUCCAGAAGAUGAUGCAGAGUUAACAUUAACUAAAGUGGAUGAAGAAUUCGUGGAAGAGGAGACAGAUAAUGAAGAAAACUUUAUUGAUCUCAACGUUUUAAAGGCCCAGACCUAUCGCUUGGAUAUGAAUGAGUCUGCCAAACAGGAAGAUAUUUUAGAAUCUACAACAGAUGCUGCGGAAUGGAGUCUAGAAGUGGAACGUGUACUACCACAACUGAAAGUCACGAUUAGGACUGACAAUAAGGAUUGGAGAGUCCACGUUGACCAAAUGCACCAGCACAAAAGUGGAAUUGAAUCUGCUCUAAAGGAGACCAAGGGAUUUUUGGACAAACUCCACAAUGAAAUUAGCAGAACUCUGGAAAAAAUUGGCAGCCGAGAGAAGUACAUCAACAAUCAACUUGAGCACUUGGUUCAAGAAUAUCGUGCAGCUCAAGCCCAGCUGAGUGAGGCAAGGGAGCGAUACCAGCAGGGGAACGGUGGAGUGACUGAAAGGACCAGGCUCCUGUCUGAGGUUACAGAAGAAUUAGAAAAGGUAAAACAAGAAAUGGAAGAGAAAGGCAGCAGCAUGACCGAUGGUGGUGAGUGCACUCAUUUAAGGAGAAGAAGUGAGCAAGAGAAGAGUAACUGUUUACAAAAGUCUGUUGGAUAAAGUAGCAUUAAUAAGUAGGGAGUUCGCUUUUUUAAAUGAGCUAUUUGUUUGAGGUGAGGUACUUGGUGCAGAAAUGAUGUCCUAUAAUCAGUAUACUGUUUUCCUUAAAAAGCAACUGGGAGUGAGAAGCAUAGUUUUUUGUUUUUUGUUUUUUAACUAUCAUUUGGGGUUUUUUGUUUCAAAUUUUAUUGAUUCAGAGACAGAAUGGUAAAUAUUUAAAGAUACACUUUAUUGUGCCAAUUUAAAAAAUAGUGUUUUAUUUUGUUUUUGUGAAAUGAGCUUUAUUUUUCCAUUUUCUGUACAAGAGGUCACUAAGUAUACGCCCAAAUGGCACUGAGGCAGUGAUGUCAUGACCUGACAAGGCAGGGUCAGGUAGAGAAGAAUUAAUAAUCCUCCUGUCAUCAUCCUCCAUCCUGAGCUGAUUACUGUGACAUGGCCCGGUGGUAAUUCUCUAAGACUGUUCUAUGCCCUACAAAGAUUUUUACAGUUCUAAUGGUAUAUAUUAAGUGAUCAUUCAAAGGGGGUGUAUAGGGGUUUUUUGGCAACAUUUUUUUGAAUGAGCCCAUUAUCUAGAUAUCAAAGGUAAUUCUCCCUCCCCCUUUUCGCCCUUUGUAUCCCCUUUUCCUACAGACAAAUAUGCUAGCCCGUAAAAUCAUAUUGAAGACAUCUUUAAACACCCUUUAGCAACUCUUCCCCUAGAAAAGGAAGAAAGUUCAGCCUCCAUACAUCAAAUGCUGCAUCAGUUCCCAUCCUACAAAUCUCAGCGCCUUUGGUGAAGAUUAAACAGAGCUUAACAAAACUGAAGCAAGAGACUGUUCAGAUGGAUAUUAGAAUCGGCGUUGUGGAACACACAUUACUGCAGUCAAAACUGAAGGAGAAGUCCAACA
RNA transcript from Trichechus manatus latirostris (Florida manatee), 3767 nucleotides. It is a transcript of the gene named intraflagellar transport 57, with no coding region annotated. The transcript has 11 exons. NCBI's taxonomy places the organism in Eukaryota, Metazoa, Chordata, Mammalia, Sirenia, Trichechidae. The record is from RefSeq and is a predicted model, not a curated record.